CGUGUAGGUGGCUAAUUAAGUCAGGUGUGAAAUCCUUCCGCUUAACGGAAGAAGUGCAUUUGAAACUGCUUAGCUAGAGUACGGGAGAGGAAGGUGGAAUUCCUGGUGUAGAGGUGAAAUUCAUAGAUAUCGGGAAGAACACCGGUGGCGAAGGCGGCCUUCUGGCCCGAUACUGACGCUGAGACGCGAAAGCGUGGGGAGCAAACAG
This 208-nucleotide ribosomal RNA is filed under the name uncultured bacterium. RNAcentral describes it as "partial 16S ribosomal RNA". It matches the Rfam family "Bacterial small subunit ribosomal RNA", at positions 568 to 775 of the family's 1533-position model. The record is from RNAcentral.